Molecule: unclassified non-coding RNA, 348 nt
Filed under: soil metagenome
Description: partial contains 5.8S ribosomal RNA, internal transcribed spacer 2, and large subunit ribosomal RNA
Rfam family: 5.8S ribosomal RNA (bases 1-120)
Source: RNAcentral
GAUGAAGAACGCAGCAAAAUGCGAUAAGUAAUGUGAAUUGCAGAAUUCAGUGAAUCAUCGAAUCUUUGAACGCACAUUGCGCCCGCUGGUAUUCCGGCGGGCAUGCCUGUUCGAGCGUCAUUUCAACCCUCAAGCCCCCGGGUUUGGUGUUGGGGAUCGGCUCUGCCCUUCUGGGCGGUGCCGCCCCCGAAAUACAUUGGCGGUCUCGCUGCAGCCUCCAUUGCGUAGUAGCUAACAUCUCGCAACUGGAACGCGGCGCGGCCAUGCCGUAAAACCCCAACUUCUGAAUGUUGACCUCGGAUCAGGUAGGAAUACCCGCUGAACUUAAGCAUAUCAAUAAGCGGAGGA